AACGAACGCUGGCGGCAUGCCUAACACAUGCAAGUCGAACGAACCCUUCGGGGUGAGUGGCGCACGGGUGCGUAACACGUGGGAACCUGCCCUUAGGUUCGGAAUAACACAGAGAAAUUUGUGCUAAUACCGGAUAAUGUCUUCGGACCAAAGAUUUAUCGCCUUUGGAUGGGCCCGCGUAGGAUUAGCUAGUUGGUGAGGUAAAGGCUCACCAAGGCGACGGUCAUUAGCUGGUCUUAGAGGAGGAUCAGCCACAAUGGGACUGAGACACGGCCCAGACUCCUACGGGAGGCAGCAGUGGGGAAUAUUGGACAAUGGGCGAAAGCCUGAUCCAGCAAUGCCGCGUGAGUGAUGAAGGCCUUAGGGUUGUAAAGCUCUUUUACUGGGGAUGAUAAUGACAGUACCCAGAGAAUAAGCCCCGGCUAACUCCGUGCCAGCCGCCGCCGUAA
This 449-nucleotide ribosomal RNA is filed under the name uncultured bacterium. Its description in RNAcentral is "partial 16S ribosomal RNA". It matches the Rfam family "Bacterial small subunit ribosomal RNA", at positions 29 to 523 of the family's 1533-position model. The record is from RNAcentral.